RNAcentral lists this long non-coding RNA (2768 nucleotides) under Strongylocentrotus purpuratus (purple sea urchin). RNAcentral's name for it is "uncharacterized LOC115922921". The record is from RNAcentral. Lineage: Eukaryota; Metazoa; Echinodermata; Echinoidea; Camarodonta; Strongylocentrotidae.
GUGUGUUAAACUUAAUACACACAUUUCAAUGGGAUGUCGUUGGACUUGUACUUAUGACGGUUUCAUGAAACGCUGCCCAGAUCCCCGACACCGAACACCUGGGGAGGUUUCACGAAACCGUCAUUAAGUCUAACUUUUUAGACAUCGUAUUGAAACGUGUGAUAGAGAUCUAACACGUGUUUCUACCAAAUCUCCACGAGCUUAGACUUAUGGCAGUUUCGAGAAACUAGCACUCGCUCUGAAUCUGGCGCAUCCACGGCCACGCUGGAAGCUCGGAUCUGACCGCCUGCGAUGCAUGCCCCGGACGCGACGGCAGCCCGCUCUCGAGCUAACUCUCCAUCGCAUCGUGCAGCUGUCUUUCUUCUCUUUCACGAACACGGUUGCCCGACUGAAACAACUAGACCACAUUAGUAUCCUGACAUCAAGAUAGGUCUCUAUUAUGUGCCCAUCCGUCUGAUUAAGUCUUCUUUGGAGCAAACUGUCAGACAUUUGCGGUAGUAUACAGCUGAAAUGGAAUUUCCGUUCAACCAAACAGUAUACUUCAAGGCUAUUUCUCAGCGACGAGGGUUAGCUCCAGGUAGCAGUAGCAGGCUGGAAGUAACACACAUGUGCAGUGUUUCAGUCGAAAACGAAUACCACCCAUUCAAAAUCGGUUAUAGGAUCUUGUCCAUAUGUCCAUAUUUUUGUAUGCAUGUGAAACAUGGACCAUGACAGCAGACAUUAAAAGAAGGAUACAGGCACUGGAGAUGAAAUGUUUCCGCAAACUCCUCAGUAUCUGGUAUAGAGAUCACAUAACCAACGAGGUAGUGAAAAUCAGAAUUGGAAACACCAUAGGGCCGUAUGAAGACCUCCUGACUUCAGUGAAAAGAUGCAAAGUAAAGUGGUAUGGGUAUGUCACAUGAUCAUUUGGACUGGCCAAGACUAUUCUACAUGGAACAGUACAAGGAGGGAGACGAAAAGGCAGGCAGAGGAAACGAUGGGAAGACAACAUUAACGAGUGACCUUGACUGAAACAUCAUACUUCGUAAAGCCAAGAACCACGAGGAGUGGAGGAAGCUGGUAGUAUAAAUCUUCAGUGGUGCCCCAAGGGUCAGCCAGACUGUGGGAUAGGUGAAGGUGAAGGUGAAGGAAGCUAAGAAUCAGAUAGUUAGACAUUAUAUUGGAUCAUUUAUCCUUUCCUUCAAAAGGAAUGUUGCUUUAUACUGUAGCACAUAAACAAUGCUUUUUAAUUGGCAAUAUUUCAGUUCAGUACGCUUGUUAUUAAUUUCAUCAAACAUUAAAAUGUAAAAGGGAGAAACACUGUCAUUUGAAAAUCAAAAUGUAAGUCAUAAAAAUUUCACUGUCUAACUAUCUGAAUCUUGUCAGGAUCCAUGUACGAGUUAGUGCAAUUCUUUUCUCUUCACUACAACCGCAUUGAUUUACUUUAAUAGCAUGUUACUAGGUACAUCAAUUGAUGAGAAAAAGCAGCAAAACGCUUUAAAUUUGUUGUAGUCUUAAAAUUAAAGUUGGAAGUUUCCUAAAAAGGGAAUUUUAGAACACUCCUUCAACUGACAUGCACGGAUGUUAUACUUAUGAAUUUCCAUACAUUAAUGUCUUUGUAAUGCAUGUUACCAAACAAAAAAAAGUAUCAUCAACCAUUCUUGUCAUUUCCUGUGCAAUUAUUUUCACAUCCUGGCUUAACAGUACAUAAACAGUGCUCUUUUAUUUUCAAUAUUUCAGAAAAAUGCAUUUGCAUUAUGAUACAUGCAGGUAUAGUUGGUCAAGUAAGAAUAUAUUUACAGCAUGCUCACUAUGAAUUGAUUAAAUCGCCAUUGAAUCUAAAAGGUAUGUUAUACCUCAUUGUAUAUUCAGAAGGAAAAAGUGUGAGGAUAGCUUUAAAAAAAAAAAAAAAUCAUGAGUAUCCAUAAUGAUGUGAAUAUGUACAUGUUUGUUUGUUGCAUAUGAUUCUUCCUUGGUAUCAAAGCUGUAAUAAUUGCAUAUUUAUGAUUCAGCAUAAUACUUUGUUCAUUACAAAAAAAAAUAUGUCAUAAUUUUCCAAAACGGUAGUGUAAAGAAUAAUGUAAGAUUGAGGUAAGAUUGUUACAUAUAUUCUCUAUACGUAUCAACUAAAAUGUAAGUUUUCAAAUGAGAUACUAUUUUGUCCCCAGAUGAAAUAAGUAAUGGAUCUUUUUUGUUAAAUGUCAGCAAAUGAUCUAAAUGAACAUGUGUUCGGGUAUAUCAAAUCUUGUACAUGUAGUUUCUAUAGCUAAUAUAGUUUGGAGGACUUAAAGAUAGAAAAACUGCUGAUUGAUUAAUUACCAUUGUUUGUAUUGUUCACUAUAACCAGCAAGUAAAGGGACAUUUAGUAGAUGCCAAGAAAGUAUUUCCAAAGCAAUUACAUUUCUCUUAUCCUGUAAUGUAUUUUUUGCGUCAAUAAAAGCAAAUGUGAGGGUUGUCCACAUAACAUCACAACUACAGAACAGUUUAAUUGAAAUUAACAUACAUAUUACAUGUAUAUAUGUGUAUUAUGGAAUAACUUAGAAUAUUUCAUAAUUUGUUAUUAUUAUCCAGUUCAUUACAUUUUUACCAAUGUAUUUCUUCAAUAUUUCUACUUUUCCUCAGAGCAUAUGCUGUGAACUAAUGGAUAUUCCUUGUCAGUUCCAUCAUGUUAUGUCAAUGGGCUUACACUGUAUGCGUGUACAUGUCCUUUUUGCAAUGUACAUGUGCUACGAAAAUGUCAACAAUAUUGUUUGAGAUAUAAAAUAUAGAGUUAACAAGUGAAUUAUUCA